RNAcentral lists this ribosomal RNA (460 nucleotides) under uncultured bacterium. Its description in RNAcentral is "partial 16S ribosomal RNA". It matches the Rfam family "Bacterial small subunit ribosomal RNA", at positions 338 to 795 of the family's 1533-position model. The record is from RNAcentral.
CCUACGGGAGGCUGCAGUGAGGAAUAUUGGUCAAUGGCCGCAAGCCUGAACCAGCCAAGUCGCGUGAGGGAUGAAGGUCCUAUGGAUUGUAAACUUCUUUUGUCAGGGAACAAAGGUAUCCACGUGUGGAUGUUUGCAUGUACCCUAUGAAAAAGCAUCGGCUAACUCCGUGCCAGCAGCCGCGGUAAUACGGAGGAUGCGAGCGUUAUCCGGAUUUAUUGGGGUUAAAGGGUGCGUAGGCUGGAUUUUAAGUCAGCGGUGAAAGUUUGGGGCUCAACCAUAGAAGUGCCGUUGAAACUGGAGGACUUGAGUGUGUGAGAGGUAGGCGGAAUGCGUGGUGUAGCGGUGAAAUGCAUAGAUAUCACGCAGAACUCCGAUUGCGAAGGCAGCUUACUGGGGCACAACUGACGCUGAAGCACGAAAGCGUGGGGAUCGAACAGGAUUAGAUACCCUUGUAGUC